AGAGUUUGAUCAUGGCUCAGGAUGAACGCUAGCGGCAGGCUUAACACAUGCAAGUCGAGGGGCAUCAGCCGAUGUAGCAAUACAUUGGUGUUGGCGACCGGCGUAAGGGUGCGUAACGCGUGAGCAACAUGCCCGCAACAGGCGGAUAGACCGUGGAAACGCGGCGUAAACCGCCAUAGGACCAGUAGCAGCAUUGCAACAGGUUGAAAUCUUCGGAGGUUGCGGAUUGGCUCGCGUAACAUUAGCUAGAUGGAGAGGUAACGGCUCACCAUGGCUACGAUGUUUAGGGGAACUGAGAGGUUGACCCCCCACACUGGAACUGAGACACGGUCCAGACUCCUACGGGAGGCAGCAGUGAGGAAUAUUGGACAAUGGAUGGAAAUCUGAUCCAGCCAUGCCGCGUGCAGGAAGAAGGUCCUAUGGAUUGUAAACUGCUUUAGUGCGGGAGCAAUAAGGUCCACGAGUGGACCGAUGAGAGUACCGCAAGAAUAAGCAUCGGCUAACUCCGUGCCAGCAGCCGCGGUAAUACGGGGGAUGCAAGCGUUAUCCGGAUUUAUUGGGUUUAAAGGGUGCGUAGGCGGUCUGUCAAGUCGGCGGUGAAAACAGCAUGCUAAACAUGGUGCUUGCCGUCGAGACUGGUGGGCUUGAAUGUGGAUGAUGCCGGCGGAAUGUGUAAAGUAGCGGUGAAAUGCAUAGAUAUUACACAGAAGGUCGAUUGCGAAAGCAGCUGGCAAAGGCACUAUUGACGCUGAGGCACGAAAGUGCGGGGAUCGAACAGGAUUAGAUACCCCGGUAGU
This 797-nucleotide ribosomal RNA is filed under the name uncultured bacterium. Its description in RNAcentral is "bacterial SSU rRNA". It matches the Rfam family "Bacterial small subunit ribosomal RNA", at positions 8 to 794 of the family's 1533-position model. The record is from RNAcentral.